AGGGAGAAAUCUUGGCUUCUGGCUUCUUUAAAGUGUUUCACAGAUGAAGGGAAUAUCAAGGACAGACUUAAAAGAGGGAAGAAGACUAUUAUUUGAAGCCAGGUGAAGCCUUGAUGACUGGUUUGAAUUCACUGGGAAAAGUGGAAUAAUCAAGAGACUCGGGCUAACUAAAUCCCUCUGGGAGCCUCAGCAGCCGAGGCCAUCACUCAAAAUUAAGGGUGGUAGAUUCUCCUUUGGACCUGUAGGUCCAAUUCAAGAACUAAUGGCUGCCCUGAUCAUUCUGUAGUAUGUGUUGUCUGAUGGAUCCAUAUCUUCCUCUUUGGAAAGCUGGGAACUAGAAAGAAGUAUUCUAUUUGCUAUUACCCAAGGGAUAAUACUACCAGAAUAGCCGGUGGAAUUUGCCUGUUACUUUUCUUAAAAACAA
This 424-nucleotide long non-coding RNA is filed under the name Pongo abelii (Sumatran orangutan). Its description in RNAcentral is "lincRNA". The record is from RNAcentral. Lineage: Eukaryota; Metazoa; Chordata; Mammalia; Primates; Hominidae.